Molecule: ribosomal RNA, 729 nt
Filed under: Halomonas sp. B20.4
Lineage: Bacteria; Pseudomonadati; Pseudomonadota; Gammaproteobacteria; Oceanospirillales; Halomonadaceae
Description: bacterial SSU rRNA
Rfam family: Bacterial small subunit ribosomal RNA
Source: RNAcentral
UUGAACGCUGCCGGCAGGCCUAACACAUGCAAGUCGAGCGGAAACGAUCCUAGCUUGCUAGGAGGCGUCGAGCGGCGGACGGGUGAGUAAUGCAUAGGAAUCUGCCCGGUAGUGGGGGAUAACUUGAGGAAACUCAAGCUAAUACCGCAUACGCCCUACGGGGGAAAGCAGGGGCUCUUCGGACCUUGCGCUAUCGGAUGAGCUUAUGUCGGAUUAGCUGGUUGGUGAGGUAACGGCUCACCAAGGCGACGAUCCGUAGCUGGUCUGAGAGGAUGAUCAGCCACAUCGGGACUGAGACACGGCCCGAACUCCUACGGGAGGCAGCAGUGGGGAAUAUUGGACAAUGGGGGCAACCCUGAUCCAGCCAUGCCGCGUGUGUGAAGAAGGCCCUCGGGUUGUAAAGCACUUUCAGCGAGGAAGAAUGCUUGUCGGUUAAUACCCGGCAAGGGAGACAUCACUCGCAGAAGAAGCACCGGCUAACUCCGUGCCAGCAGCCGCGGUAAUACGGAGGGUGCGAGCGUUAAUCGGAAUUACUGGGCGUAAAGCGUGCGUAGGCGGCUUGAUAAGCCGGUUGUGAAAGCCCCGGGCUCAACCUGGGAACGGCAUCCGGAACUGUUAGGCUAGAGUGCAGGAGAGGAAGGUAGAAUUCCCGGUGUAGCGGUGAAAUGCGUAGAGAUCGGGAGGAAUACCAGUGGCGAAGGCGGCCUUCUGGACUGACACUGACGCUGA